CUUAAGUGGCGGACGGGUGAGUAACGCGUGGGAACCUGCCUUGCACCGGGGGAUAACACUUAGAAAUAGGUGCUAAUACCGCAUAAGCGCACAGAGCCGCAUGGCUCGGUGUGAAAAACUCCGGUGGUGCAAGAUGGACCCGCGUCUGAUUAGCUGGUUGGCGGGGUAACGGCCCACCAAGGCGACGAUCAGUAGCCGGCCUGAGAGGGUGAACGGCCACAUUGGGACUGAGACACGGCCCAAACUCCUACGGGAGGCAGCAG
This 263-nucleotide ribosomal RNA is filed under the name uncultured bacterium. Its description in RNAcentral is "partial 16S ribosomal RNA". It matches the Rfam family "Bacterial small subunit ribosomal RNA", at positions 90 to 354 of the family's 1533-position model. The record is from RNAcentral.